RNAcentral lists this ribosomal RNA (506 nucleotides) under uncultured bacterium. Its description in RNAcentral is "partial 16S ribosomal RNA". It matches the Rfam family "Bacterial small subunit ribosomal RNA", at positions 29 to 523 of the family's 1533-position model. The record is from RNAcentral.
AGUGAACGCUGGCGGUAGGCCUAACACAUGCAAGUCAAACGGCAGCACAGAGGAGCUUGCUCCUUGGGUGGCGAGUGGCGGACGGGUGAGGAAUACAUCGGAAUCUACUCUGUCGUGGGGGAUAACGUAAGGAAACUUACGCUAAUACCGCAUACGACCUACGGGUGAAGGCAGGGGACCUUCGGGCCUUGCGCGAUUGAAUGAGCCGAUGUCGGAUUACCUAGUUGGCGGGGUAAAGGCCCACCAAGGCGACGAUCCGUAGCUGGUCUGAGAGGAUGAUCAGCCACACUGGAACUGAGACACGGUCCAGACUCCUACGGGAGGCAGCAGUGGGGAAUAUUGGACAAUGGGCGCAAGCCUGAUCCAGCCAUACCGCGUGGGUGAAGAAGGCCUUCGGGUUGUAAAGCCCUUUUGUUGGGAAAGAAAUCCAGCUGGCUAAUACCCGGUUGGGAUGACGGUACCCAAAGAAUAAGCACCGGCUAACUUCGUGCCAGCCGCCGCCGUAA